Molecule: ribosomal RNA, 492 nt
Filed under: uncultured bacterium
Lineage: Bacteria
Description: partial 16S ribosomal RNA
Rfam family: Bacterial small subunit ribosomal RNA
Source: RNAcentral
AGUGAACGCUGGCGGUAUGCCUAACACAUGCAAGUCGAACGGCAGCACAGUAAGCUCUUGCUCUUGCGGUUGGCGGGUGGCGGGCGGGUGAGAAGUGGAUCGGAAUCUACUUUUUCUUGGGGGAUAACGGAAGGAAGCUGACGCUAAUACCUCAUACAACCUACGGCUGGAAUCAAUGGAGCUUCGCGCCUUUCGCGUCUGAAUGAGACGGAGUCGGAUUAGCUAGUUGGCAGGGUAAAGGCCCACCAAGGCAACGAUGCGUAGCUGGCCUGAGAGGAUGAUCAGCCACACUGGAACUGAGACACGGUCCAGACUCCUACGGGAGGCAGCAGUGGGGAAUAUUGGACAAUGGGCGAAAGCCUGACCCAGCCAUGCCGCGUGGGUGAAGAAGGCCUUCGGGUCGUAAAGCCCUUUUGUUGGGAAAGAAAAGCAGCAGGUUAAUACCUCGCUGUUCUGACGGUACCCAAAGAAUAAGCACCGGCUAACUUCGUG